Papio anubis (olive baboon) is the source of this 148-nucleotide unclassified non-coding RNA. It matches the Rfam family "Metazoan signal recognition particle RNA". From Rfam's summary of the family: The signal recognition particle (SRP) is a universally conserved ribonucleoprotein. NCBI's taxonomy places the organism in Eukaryota, Metazoa, Chordata, Mammalia, Primates, Cercopithecidae. The record is from Ensembl.
GCUGGGCAUGGUGGCGUGUGCCUGUAAUCCCAGCUACUUGGGAGGCUGAGGCAGGAGAAUCGCUUGAACCUGGGAGGCAGAGGUUGCAGUGAGCCGAGGUCAUGCCACUGCACUCCAGCCUAGGCAACAGAGUGAGACUCUGUCUCAA